Molecule: ribosomal RNA, 580 nt
Filed under: uncultured bacterium
Lineage: Bacteria
Description: partial 16S ribosomal RNA
Rfam family: Bacterial small subunit ribosomal RNA
Source: RNAcentral
UGGGGAAUAUUGCACAAUGGGCGCAAGCCUGAUGCAGCCAUGCCGCGUGUGUGAAGAAGGCCUUCGGGUUGUAAAGCACUUUCAGCGAGGAGGAAGGUGGUGAGCUUAAUACGCUCAUCAAUUGACGUUACUCGCAGAAGAAGCACCGGCUAACUCCGUGCCAGCAGCCGCGGUAAUACGGAGGGUGCAAGCGUUAAUCGGAAUUACUGGGCGUAAAGCGCACGCAGGCGGUUUGUUAAGUCAGAUGUGAAAUCCCUGGGCUCAACCUGGGAACUGCAUUUGAAACUGGCAAGCUAGAGUCUCGUAGAGGGGGGUAGAAUUCCAGGUGUAGCGGUGAAAUGCGUAGAGAUCUGGAGGAAUACCGGUGGCGAAGGCGGCCCCCUGGACGAAGACUGACGCUCAGGUGCGAAAGCGUGGGGAGCAAACAGGAUUAGAGUACCCUGGUAGUCCACGCUGUAAACCGAUGUCGAUUUGGAGGUUGUGCCCUUGAGGCGUGGCUUCCGGAGCUAACGCGUUAAAUCGACCGCCUGGGGAGUACGGCCGCAAGGUUAAAACUCAAAUGAAUUGACGGGGUCAUAGC